This 486-nucleotide ribosomal RNA is filed under the name uncultured bacterium. RNAcentral describes it as "partial 16S ribosomal RNA". It matches the Rfam family "Bacterial small subunit ribosomal RNA", at positions 30 to 507 of the family's 1533-position model. The record is from RNAcentral.
AUUGAACGCUGGCGGCAUGCCUUACACAUGCAAGUCGAACGGCAGCACGGGUGCUUGCACCUGGUGGCGAGUGGCGAACGGGUGAGUAAUACAUCGGAACAUGUCCUGUAGUGGGGGAUAGCCCGGCGAAAGCCGGAUUAAUACCGCAUACGAUCUACGGAUGAAAGCGGGGGACCUUCGGGCCUCGCGCUAUAGGGUUGGCCGAUGGCUGAUUAGCUAGUUGGUGGGGUAAAGGCCUACCAAGGCGACGAUCAGUAGCUGGUCUGAGAGGACGACCAGCCACACUGGGACUGAGACACGGCCCAGACUCCUACGGGAGGCAGCAGUGGGGAAUUUUGGACAAUGGGCGAAAGCCUGAACCAGCAAUGCCGCGUGUGUGAAGAAGGCCUUCGGGUUGUAAAGCACUUUUGUCCGGAAAGAAAUCCUUGGCCCUAAUACGGUCGGGGGAUGACGGUACCGGAAGAAUAAGCACCGGCUGACUACGUG